Molecule: non-coding RNA, 1845 nt
Organism: Callorhinus ursinus (northern fur seal)
Lineage: Eukaryota; Metazoa; Chordata; Mammalia; Carnivora; Otariidae
Source: RefSeq, a predicted model, not a curated record
AUGGCUGUGGAAGAGCUUCAGUCCAUAAUAAUGAGAUGUCAAAUCCUAGAAGAACAGUACUUUAAAGAAGAAGAUUUUGGCCUAUUUCAGUUAGCAGGCCAAAGAUGCAUAGAUGAAGGGCAUAUAGAGCAGCUAUUAGAAAUUAUUCAAAAUGAAAAGAAUAAGGUCAUUAUCAAGAAUAUGGGCUGGAAUCUUGUUGGUCCUGUUGUUCAAUGUCUUUUGUGAAAUAAGGAAUAUGAGAAAAGAAAAUAUUAUUAUCUGAUGCUUGAUUUAUUGGUAAAGUUACGUAAUCCAAAGGAAUUAUUGUUGGGUUUGCUUGAACUGAUUGAAGAGCCCUCUGGAAAACAGAUAUCCCAAAUUAUCCUUCUUUUACUUCAGCCAUUACAAACACUGAUUCAGAAACUUCGUAACAACAAGGCAUAUUCGGUGGGAUUGGCAUUGUCCACUCUUUGGAGUCAGCUCUCUCUCCUUCCCGUUCCAUACUCAGAAGAACAAAGACAAACAGAUGACUAUGGCCUUUGUCAGUGUUGCAAGGCCUUAACAGGGUUCACUAAGCCUUUUGUGGAAGAAGUCAUUAAUGACAAAGAAAACUCACUGGAAGACGAAAAUGAAAAGUUAAAGGAUGAAUUACUGAAAUUUUGUUUCAAAAGCUUGAAAUGCCCUUUGCUGACAGCACAAUUCUUUGAGCAGUCCAAAGAAGCUGGAAAUGAUCCCUUAAGAUGAUUUGCAUCUGAAAUAAUAGGCUUUUUAUCAGCAAUUGGACAUCCUUUCCCCAAAAUGAUUUUUAAUCAUGGAAGGAAAAAGAGGACUUGGGACUAUCUUGAAUUUGAGGAAGAAGAAGACAAACAGCAGACUCUAUGGCUUCUCUGGCCUAUCUGGUAUUUGUACAGGGCAUCAGUAUUGAUCAGCUUCCAAUGGUCUUAAGCCCAUCGUACCUUUUGCAAUUUAAUAUGGGGCAUAUUGAAGUCUUUUUGCAAAGCACAGAAGAGUCUGUUUUCUCCAAAGGAGUGGAUCUGUUGGAGAAUGGUUUGUUGAGAAUAGAAGACAACAGUCUACUUCACCAGUACUUAGAAAUCAAGAGCUUUCUUACUGUAGCUCAGGGCUUAGUCAAAGUAAUAACACUUUGCCCCAUUGAGACAUUGAGGAAAAAGAGUUUAGCUAUGCUUCAACUGUAUAUUAACAAGUUGGAUUCACAAGGCAAAUAUACGUUAUUUAGGUGCUUAUUGAAUACAAGUAAUCAUUCAGGUGUGGAGGCUUUCAUUACUCAGAAUAUCAAAAAUCAAAUUGAUGUGUCAUCAAAGAGAACACAUAACAAAUGGUUUACAGGCCCACAGCUGAUCUCACUUCUAGAUUUGGUACUCUUUCUCCCAGAGGGUGCUGAAACAGAUUUACUCCAAAACUCAGAUAGGAUAAUGGCUUCAUUAAAUUUAUUGAGAUAUUUGGUUAUCAAAGUUAAUGAGAAAGACAAUCAAACUGGACUAUGGACAGAACUUAGAAAGAUUGAGAAUAAUUUCUUAAAGCCACUCCAUACAGGACUUAAUAUGUCAAAAGCACAUUAUGAAGCAGAAAUUAAAAAUAGCAAAGAAAAUAGCCACGAAGUCCAGAAGUCUAAAGAUCUUUGUUCUGUAACUGUAGGUGGAGAAGAGAUCCCUAAUAUGCCUCCUAAAAUGCAGCUUAAGGUCCUACAUUCAGCUCUUUUCACAUUUGAUUUGAUUGAAAGGGUUCUGGCUCGAGUAGAAGAACUCAUUGAAAUAAAAACAAAGUCUACCCCUGAAGAAACUAUUGGGAUAAAGUGAAACCUCCAUUUCCUAAAUAAAAACUAGUAAAAUACUGUAAAAAAAAAAA